Molecule: ribosomal RNA, 253 nt
Filed under: uncultured bacterium
Lineage: Bacteria
Description: partial 16S ribosomal RNA
Rfam family: Bacterial small subunit ribosomal RNA
Source: RNAcentral
UACGGGGGGGGCAAGCGUUGUUCGGAAUUACUGGGCGUAAAGGGUUCGUAGGUGGCUUGCUAAGUCGAACGUGAAAUCCCCGGGCUCAACCCGGGAACUGCGUCCGAUACUGGAAGGCUUGAAUCCGGGAGAGGGAUGUGGAAUUCCAGGUGUAGCGGUGAAAUGCGUAGAUAUCUGGAGGAACACCGGUGGCGAAGGCGACAUCCUGGACCGGUAUUGACGCUGAGGCGCGAAAGCCAGGGGAGCAAACGGG